This 214-nucleotide unclassified non-coding RNA is filed under the name uncultured Thelephoraceae. RNAcentral describes it as "sequence contains ITS1". Lineage: Eukaryota; Fungi; Basidiomycota; Agaricomycetes; Thelephorales; Thelephoraceae. The record is from RNAcentral.
CUGAAUCGUCAACAAGGGUUGUUGCUGGUCCUCAAAACGAGGUCACGUGCACGCUCUGUUUACACAUCCACUCACACCUGUGCACUUUCUGUAGUUCUAUAGCCAGGGAGGCCCUGCCUUCCUCCUGUAGUCCUAUGUCUCUUUACAUACACACACGCACACGUUCGGUGAUAAAGUCUUGUGGAAUGUAUGCUGCAUUUAAUGCAAUACAAUA